RNAcentral lists this ribosomal RNA (497 nucleotides) under uncultured bacterium. RNAcentral describes it as "partial 16S ribosomal RNA". It matches the Rfam family "Bacterial small subunit ribosomal RNA", at positions 28 to 507 of the family's 1533-position model. The record is from RNAcentral.
GAUGAACGCUGGCGGCGUGCCUAAUACAUGCAAGUCGAGCGAACAGACGAGGAGCUUGCUCCUCUGACGUUAGCGGCGGACGGGUGAGUAACACGUGGUUAACCUACCUAUAAGACUGGGAUAACUUCGGGAAACCGGAGCUAAUACCGGAUAAUAUAUUGAACCGCAUGGUUCAAUAGUGAAAGACGGUUUUGCUGUCACUUAUAGAUGGACCCGCGCCGCAUUAGCUAGUUGGUAAGGUAACGGCUUACCAAGGCAACGAUGCGUAGCCGACCUGAGAGGGUGGUCGGCCACACUGGAACUGAGACACGGUCCAGACUCCUACGGGAGGCAGCAGUAGGGAAUCUUCCGCAAUGGGCGAAAGCCUGACGGAGCAACGCCGCGUGAGUGAUGAAGGUCUUCGGAUCGUAAAACUCUGUUAUUAGGGAAGAACAAAUGUGUAAGUAACUAUGCACGUCUUGACGGUACCUAAUCAGAAAGCCACGGCUAACUACGUG